CCAAAGGCCCUUUUUAGGGCCACCCACCUCCUCCUUUAAAAGAGCU
This is a non-coding RNA of Myotis davidii, 46 nucleotides long. NCBI's taxonomy places the organism in Eukaryota, Metazoa, Chordata, Mammalia, Chiroptera, Vespertilionidae. The record is from Rfam.